GCUGAACUGAGAGUGAAGAGAAAGAAUACAGUGGAGUCUAAUAGCAAGUCUGUUUUGUAAACCUUGUCUCUCCCUUCAGUGUCCUCUGAGCUAAACAUCUUGAUUGGAUGACAUUAUCUCCUUUCUAUUUUAAGUAGAAAAUUCCUCUAACAAUUUUAUUUUGAAUAUCUAUUGGAAUUUUUUUCAAAGCACAAAUAUAAUAAGGUAAGAAAUUUUAUAGUAUCAACAGGUGAGAGAGAUUCACAAAACAUAAGUUAUUUCAAUAUAUUAGGAUACAUUUUAUAGGAAAAAGAAACCCUGAAGAGUUUUUUUUUUUUUAAUUUAAUCUAUAAAUUUCAAUUAUAAUGAAAAAAAUCACUAUCUACUUUUUGAGAAUUACAAAAUUUAUAUUUCAAUCUUCAACUUGCCCUUGAUCCUCCCUCUGGCUCCUAUUGCCUAGAGAACUCCCUUUGAAUAUCUCAAACACAUUUUUAAAUUAAUGGACUUAAACACAUGACCUAGUUAAUUUAAAGUUUUUUCCUUUUGUACUCUUCAUUUGAGUGAGUUUCAUUUACCUCCCUGUUGAAGUCUCAACCCUGAUUUCUCUUUUUCUUAGUCCCAAUAUCUAAUCCUUCAUGUGUGGAGUGUGUGUGUGUGUGUGUGUGUGUGUGUGUGUGUGAUGCACAUGCACAUGCACUUUUAAUCCUUCCGCUUCUUUACUCUUCAAAUGCCAAUGCCAUAUCAUAUCAAACCAGACAACUGUAAUACCUUAGAACCUUUUCUCCCCAGAACCUAUUUUUUGCUCAGUCUCUUUCAUUCUGAACAAAACAAUAAAAGUAAAAAUUUAAACUCACAAAUAUAAUAAUGCUUUUUUCCCAUUAACAGUGCAAUAUUUUCAUAAUUUAAAAAAAUCAAAGACCUUUAAAAAUACUCAACGUUGGAUAAAUAUUAGAUGCUGCUUAAUUCUUUCACGUGGAGUUGUGUCUUUCUCCUUCUGUUCCUUCUGCUCCAGACACAUGUUUCUAUAAAUUCCAUGUAAAGUUAAGAUGGGCAAGCCUUGGUUUCUGCUACUCCCCAGCCACAUAUGUGCUUUCCUUGAGUUAUUUCCUUGGUUGGCUAGUCAUUUAAUUCAAGUUUUGGCCUAAAGUUUAUACCCUCUGUGUGAGCUUUCUUUUCUCUGCAGUCAUAUUAAAUCAACUGAUGCCUUUUUCAAUCGUGUUUUUCUACACAGUUCUUACUUGAAACUUUUUUUUUUUUCAUUCCUUGUGCAUCCUCAUCUGCACUAAAUUAUGAUGAACUCCCAUACUGGUUCGACUUAUCACUUCAUACCUAUCUAGCAGAUUGCUACUUGUAAAAGGGCAACUGGAACUGUGCUGCUCGGUAUAGGUAUAGUGGUUAUCUAAAUUUAAAUUUUUCAUUAAUUAAAAAUUAAACAAAAUUACAAGCAUAGUUCCUCUGUUGUAAGUGCCACAUUUCAUCUGUUAAAUAGGCAAAUCAGGCUAAUGGCUACCACAUUAGACAGUGUUG
This 1506-nucleotide long non-coding RNA is filed under the name Marmota monax (woodchuck). The record is from RNAcentral. Lineage: Eukaryota; Metazoa; Chordata; Mammalia; Rodentia; Sciuridae.